GGCUGUUUGGUCUAGUGGUAUGACUCUUCCUUAGGGUGGAAGAAGUCCUAAGUUCGAUUCCCGGAACAGCCU
This 72-nucleotide transfer RNA is filed under the name Gregarina niphandrodes. It matches the Rfam family "tRNA". From Rfam's summary of the family: Transfer RNA (tRNA) molecules are approximately 80 nucleotides in length. Their secondary structure includes four short double-helical elements and three loops (D, anti-codon, and T loops). Lineage: Eukaryota; Apicomplexa; Conoidasida; Eugregarinorida; Gregarinidae. The record is from Rfam by way of RNAcentral.